This 130-nucleotide non-coding RNA is filed under the name Frankia sp. The record is from RNAcentral. Lineage: Bacteria; Bacillati; Actinomycetota; Actinomycetes; Frankiales; Frankiaceae.
CAGGAAGCCGGUGUGAAUCCGGCGCGGUCCCGCCACUGUUACCGGGGAGUCGACCUCAGCGGAAGGUCACGGCGGCCGUAGGCCGCUGGAAGGCCGAGGUUCGAUGCCGAUCCGGGUAGCCAGGAUACUG